AUGAUAGUUAACAACUACCCUGCUCUUCCUCACGUUAAAGGCUUGAAAAGUAUUAAGCUUGUUUUCUUGCCACCUAAUACAACCAGUAAGAUACAACCCUGGGACCAAGGUAUCAUUCAGAAUCUGAAAGUUCACUACCGCAAAAGAGUCCUAAUGAAACAGAUAGCAUGUGCCGAGAGAAAAACAGAGUUCAGUCUAACUGUCCUAGAUGCACUCCGAUUUCUUCACCGAGCUUGGUUCUCAGUCACAGCCACCACAAUAAGCAACUGCUUUAGACAUGCAUGUUUCAGUGUUGACAUUGAGUCCGGAGUAAGUGACCAACAAGAAGAAGAAGAUGACGACGAUGAUAUUCCACUAGCCCAUCUUGCAGGAAUUCAUUUCACAGAAUACUCUGUACUUUUAUUAGCUGAUUUCGGCUGUUAA
This 423-nucleotide small RNA is filed under the name Mytilus galloprovincialis (Mediterranean mussel). The record is from RNAcentral. Lineage: Eukaryota; Metazoa; Mollusca; Bivalvia; Mytilida; Mytilidae.